RNAcentral lists this ribosomal RNA (460 nucleotides) under uncultured bacterium. Its description in RNAcentral is "partial 16S ribosomal RNA". It matches the Rfam family "Bacterial small subunit ribosomal RNA", at positions 338 to 795 of the family's 1533-position model. The record is from RNAcentral.
CCUACGGGGGACAGCAGUGAGGAAUAUUGGUCAAUGGGCGCGAGCCUGAACCAGCCAAGCCGCGUGAGGGAUGAAGGUUCUAUGGAUCGUAAACCUCUUUUAUAAGGGAAUAAAGUGUGGGACGUGUCCUAUUUUGUAUGUACCUUAUGAAUAAGGAUCGGCUAACUCCGUGCCAGCAGCCGCGGUAAUACGGAGGAAUCAAGCGUUAUCCGGAUUUAUUGGGUUUAAAGGGUGCGUAGGCGGCCUUUUAAGUCAGCGGUGAAAGUCUGUGGCUUAACCAUAGAAUUGCCUUUGAAACUGGGAGGCUAGAGUAUGUGUGAGGCAGGCGGAAUGCGUGGUGUAGCGGUGAAAUGCUUAGAUAUCACGCAGAACCCCGAUUGCGAAGGCAGCUUGCCAAGCCAUGACUGACGCUGAGGCACGAAAGCGUGGGGAGCAAACAGGAUUAGAUACCCGGGUAGUC